Molecule: unclassified non-coding RNA, 330 nt
Filed under: soil metagenome
Description: partial contains 5.8S ribosomal RNA, internal transcribed spacer 2, and large subunit ribosomal RNA
Rfam family: 5.8S ribosomal RNA (bases 1-120)
Source: RNAcentral
GAUGAAGAACGUAGCGAAAUGCGAUAAGUAAUGUGAAUUUCAGAAUUCAGUGAAUCAUCGAAUCUUUGAACGCACAUUGCGCCCCCUGGUAUUCCGGGGGGCAUGCCUGUUCGAGCGUCAUUUCACCACUCAAGCCUCGCUUGGUAUUGGGCAACGCGGUCCGCCGCGUGCCUCAAAUCGACCGGCUGGGUCUUCUGUCCCCUAAGCGUUGUGGAAACUUUCGCUAAAGGGUGUUCGGGAGGCUACGCCGUAAAACAACCCCAUUUCUAAGGUUGACCUCGGAUCAGGUAGGGAUACCCGCUGAACUUAAGCAUAUCAAUAAGCGGAGGA